GAUGAAGAACGUAGCGAAAUGCGAUAAGUAAUGUGAAUUGCAGAAUUCAGUGAAUCAUCGAAUCUUUGAACGCAUCUUGCGCUCCUUGGUAUUCCUUGGAGCAUGCCUGUUUGAGUAUCAUGAGCAAAUCUCAAAGUCAAUUCCUUUUGUUAAUUCAAUUGGUUUUGCUUUGGACUUGGAGGUCUUGCAGAUUUCACAGUCUGCUCCUCUUAAAUGCAUUAGCUGGAUCUCAGUAAUUAUGCUUGGUUCCACUCGGCGUGAUAAGUAUCACUCGCUGAGGACACUGUUAAAAAGGUGGUCAGGAAAAUACUGAUUGAACCGCUUCUAACGGUCUAUUAAGUUAGACAAUUGACCCUUAAGUUUGAUCUCAAAUCAGGUAGGACUACCCGCUGAACUUAAGCAUAUCAAUAAGCGGAGGA
RNAcentral lists this unclassified non-coding RNA (419 nucleotides) under soil metagenome. RNAcentral's name for it is "partial contains 5.8S ribosomal RNA, internal transcribed spacer 2, and large subunit ribosomal RNA". The stretch from base 1 to 120 matches the Rfam family "5.8S ribosomal RNA", at positions 35 to 154 of the family's 154-position model. The record is from RNAcentral.